CGGCGCCUCCGAGGGGGCGGGGCGGGAGGGGAGGGGUCCUUCGGCUGCUCCGCACCCUUACCUCGGCCCUCCGCGCCUCCCGAGACCCCACUGCUCCGCGUCAGGCUGGCCGCGAGGGCGGGGUGGUGCCUGUGGCCGCGAGGCCAGGUGGCCGCCAGGAGUGGGGGGAUGCGGAGCUGGAUGUCUGGCAUGGGAGGAGAGGGGCGUUCGCCCGCCUGGGAAGCACCGCCGAAAGCCAGGAGUCAGUGGGCGCGGUGCGGCCAGGCCCCAGCUGAGAAAACAGCAGGGCAGGAGGUGGCCUCGCCUUGCAAGGAAGUGCAGCCUGGCUGAGACUCAGCCUGCGGCCACCUCCCUGGUCCUGCGUCCUUUCCCAAGGGUCUUCUUCCUGACACUGAAGCCAGCCUGGCAUCUUCCUGUUCCAGCCUCCAGGGUGCUCCCAGGAUCGGGCUCACCUCUGCACCUGGUUUGAAUCCCAGGCGCAGACUUAGUACUGCUUGUCAAGCCCACGCUGUGGUGGCAUCCCACACAAAAUAGAGGAAGACUGGCACAGAUGUUAGCUUACUGACAAUCUUCC
Molecule: long non-coding RNA, 574 nt
Filed under: Equus caballus (horse)
Lineage: Eukaryota; Metazoa; Chordata; Mammalia; Perissodactyla; Equidae
Description: lncRNA (ENSECAG00000056302.1)
Source: RNAcentral